CAAGGACACGAAACUAGGUGCUGCAUGGCUGUCGUCAGCUCGUGCCGUGAGGUGUCGGAUUAAGUUCCAUAACGAGCGCAACCCCUAUUUCUAGUUGCCAGCGAGUAAUGUCGGGGACUCUAGAGAAACUGCCCGCGUAAGCGGUGAGGAAGGUGGGGACGACGUCAAGUCAUCACGGCCCUUACGUCCAGGGCGACACACGUGCUACAAUGGUAGGGACAGUGAGUUGCAAGCCGGUAACGGUGAGCUAAUCUACAAACCCUAUCUCAGUUCGGAUCGAGGUCUGCAACCCGACCUCGUGAAGCUGGAAUCGCUAGUAAUCGCAUAUCAGCCAUGAUGCGGUGAAUACGUUCCCGGGCCUUGUACACACCGCCCGUCAAGCCAUGGAAGUUGGG
This 395-nucleotide ribosomal RNA is filed under the name uncultured Bacteroidota bacterium. RNAcentral describes it as "bacterial SSU rRNA". It matches the Rfam family "Bacterial small subunit ribosomal RNA", at positions 1021 to 1415 of the family's 1533-position model. The record is from RNAcentral. Lineage: Bacteria; Pseudomonadati; Bacteroidota.